RNAcentral lists this ribosomal RNA (987 nucleotides) under uncultured cyanobacterium. RNAcentral's name for it is "bacterial SSU rRNA". It matches the Rfam family "Bacterial small subunit ribosomal RNA", at positions 471 to 1456 of the family's 1533-position model. The record is from RNAcentral. Lineage: Bacteria; Bacillati; Cyanobacteriota.
GACGGUACUUGAUGAAUAAGCCACGGCUAAUUCCGUGCCAGCAGCCGCGGUAAUACGGGAGUGGCAAGCGUUAUCCGGAAUUAUUGGGCGUAAAGCGUCCGCAGGCGGCCUUGUAAGUCUGUCGUCAAAGCGUGGAGCUUAACUCCAUUUAAGCGAUGGAAACUGCAAGGCUAGAGUGUGGUAGGGGCAGAGGGAAUUCCCGGUGUAGCGGUGAAAUGCGUAGAUAUCGGGAAGAACACCAGCGGCGAAGGCGCUCUGCUGGGCCAUAACUGACGCUCAUGGACGAAAGCCAGGGGAGCGAAAGGGAUUAGAUACCCCUGUAGUCCUGGCCGUAAACGAUGAACACUAGGUGUCGGGGGAAUCGACCCCCUCGGUGUCGUAGCCAACGCGUUAAGUGUUCCGCCUGGGGAGUACGCACGCAAGUGUGAAACUCAAAGGAAUUGACGGGGGCCCGCACAAGCGGUGGAGUAUGUGGUUUAAUUCGAUGCAACGCGAAGAACCUUACCAGGGUUUGACAUCCUGCGAAUCCCUUGGAAACGAGGGAGUGCCUUCGGGAGCGCAGAGACAGGUGGUGCAUGGCUGUCGUCAGCUCGUGUCGUGAGAUGUUGGGUUAAGUCCCGCAACGAGCGCAACCCACGUCGUUAGUCGCCAGCAUUUAGUUGGGCACUUUGGGGAGACUGCCGGUGACAAACCGGAGGAAGGUGUGGACGACGUCAAGUCAUCAUGCCCCUUACGUCCUGGGCUACACACGUACUACAAUGCUGCGGACAGAGGGACGCGAAGCCGCGAGGUGAAGCAAAUCCCAGAAACCGUGGCUCAGUUCAGAUUGCAGGCUGCAACUCGCCUGCAUGAAGGCGGAAUCGCUAGUAAUCGCAGGUCAGCAUACUGCGGUGAAUACGUUCCCGGGCCUUGUACACACCGCCCGUCACACCAUGGGAGUUGGCCAUGCCCGAAGUCGUUACUCUAACCGUUCGCGGAGGGGGGCGC